GGGGAUUUAGCUCAGUGGCAUAAGCGCCUGCUUGGCAAGCAUGAUGUUGUGAGUUCAAUCCCCC
RNAcentral lists this transfer RNA (64 nucleotides) under Cavia porcellus (domestic guinea pig). It matches the Rfam family "tRNA". From Rfam's summary of the family: Transfer RNA (tRNA) molecules are approximately 80 nucleotides in length. Their secondary structure includes four short double-helical elements and three loops (D, anti-codon, and T loops). The record is from Rfam by way of RNAcentral. Lineage: Eukaryota; Metazoa; Chordata; Mammalia; Rodentia; Caviidae.